This 281-nucleotide ribosomal RNA is filed under the name Hastigerina pelagica. RNAcentral describes it as "partial 18S ribosomal RNA". Lineage: Eukaryota; Foraminifera; Rotaliida; Hantkeninidae. The record is from RNAcentral.
GAGUGAUCUGUCUGCUUAAUUGCGUUUCAUAUUUCGAAUGUCGCUUACGUGAUUGCUGCAGACCUCGUCUCCUCUGGAGGCGACGCGUCUCUUCAACUCACUCGCACAUUCUCUUGAACGCAACGAGCGUGACCGCAACCUCUUGUUGUGUAUACCAAGUGUGGCGCUGGCUUGCCAGCUCGCACUCCAAUGCACGUAUUUUGGUCACAUUGUCUCGCGGCGCCUCGGCGUUUGCAGCAAUGUCCAAAUAAACUUGAGGGACCGCUGUAACAAUUCUUUUA